CAUUAAUCCGCUCCACUCCCACUCUUAAUACAACUACUACAAUUCACAGAAACAAAGAAAAAAAGUGCGCAAAUUCCUGAAAAGAAGAUCGCACGCAGUAGCCAUGGCUUUGAACUCAAGGCCCACCUCCUCUUUGUUAUCAAGAAAAUUGAGUAAUUCUGCUGCAAAUGAUCCUGCUAAAUCCCUCUCUUUCUUCAAUCCCGUUCCACUUUUCUCCAACAUUUCCUUCAAGAAUGCUUCUCCAUCUCCACUUUUGCCUGUUUCGGUUAAGGCGUCAUCACCAUCAUCAACUUCUCCUUCCGCCACUGUUGCUCACUCCCAACAACUCAAGAUUAAGAGCGUGCCAACGCAGCCAUUUGAGGGGCAGAAGACUGGCACAAGUGGUCUUCGGAAAAAGGUGAAAGAGUUCAUGCAAGAAAAUUAUCUCGCCAACUGGAUUCAGGCACUGUUUGACUCAUUGCCACCAGAGGAUUACAAGAAUGCAGUCUUGGUUUUAGGCGGUGAUGGUAGAUAUUUCAACAAGGAGGCUGCACAGAUAAUUAUCAAAAUUGCUGCUGGAAAUGGUGUUGGGAAAAUCUUGGUUGGCAAGGAUGGUAUAUUGUCUACACCAGCUGUAUCUGCUGUAAUAAGGAAGAGAGAGGCUAAUGGUGGAUUUAUAAUGAGUGCAAGCCACAAUCCCGGUGGUCCUGAAUAUGAUUGGGGAAUCAAGUUCAACUACAGCAGUGGCCAACCUGCACCUGAGUCGAUUACUGACAAGAUAUAUGGAAACACUCUUUCUAUCUCUGAAAUCAAAGUAGCUGAUAUUCCGGACAUCAAUCUCUCUCAGCUUGGUGCAACAAACUAUGGACCUUUUAGCGUUGAGGUAAUCGAUCCAGUAGCGGAUUAUUUGGAGCUUUUGGAGCAAGUAUUUGAUUUUUCACUUGUCAGGAGCCUUAUAUUACGGCCAGAUUUCAGUGUCCUGCAGAUCUCUGAAAUCAAAGUAGCUGAUAUUCCGGACAUCAAUCUCUCUCAGCUUGGUGCAACAAACUAUGGACCUUUUAGCGUUGAGGUAAUCGAUCCAGUAGCGGAUUAUUUGGAGCUUUUGGAGCAAGUAUUUGAUUUUUCACUUGUCAGGAGCCUUAUAUUACGGCCAGAUUUCAGGUUCACAUUUGAUGCCAUGCAUGCCGUCACUGGUGCAUAUGCCAAACCAAUUUUUGUGGACAAGCUGGGAGCUAGCAUCGAUUACAUUUUAAACGGAGUGCCUCUUGAAGAUUUUGGACAUGGCCAUCCAGAUCCUAACCUCACAUAUGCGAAGGAAUUGGUGGACCUCAUGUAUGGAGAAAACGGACCUGAUUUUGGCGCUGCAAGUGAUGGAGAUGGUGAUAGAAACAUGAUUCUUGGGAAAGGAUUUUUCGUGACUCCUUCAGAUUCUGUUGCUAUUAUUGCUGCCAACGCAGAAAAGGCCAUCCCAUACUUCAAAACUGGCCCAAAGGGCUUGGCUCGAUCCAUGCCGACUAGUGGUGCUCUGGAUCGUGUAGCAGAGAAGUUAAACCUUCCCUUCUAUGAGGUGCCCACUGGUUGGAAAUUUUUCGGGAACCUGAUGGAUGCAGGGAAAUUGUCGAUCUGUGGAGAAGAAAGUUUUGGAACUGGUUCUGAUCACAUCCGUGAGAAAGAUGGUAUCUGGGCUGUUUUAGCUUGGUUGUCGAUAAUUGCUUUUAGAAAUAAGGACAAGAAACCUGGGGAAAAGUUGGUUUCUGUGUCUGAUGUUGUGUAUGAGCAUUGGGCGACUUAUGGAAGGAACUUCUUCUCUAGAUAUGACUACGAGGAAUGUGAGUCCAAUGGGGCUAAUAAAAUGAUUGACUAUCUUAGAGACUUGAUUUCCAAAGGCAAGACCGGCGAUGUAUAUGGAGACUACACCCUGCAGUUUGCAGAUGACUUCACCUACACUGAUCCUGUGGACGGCAGCGUAGUUACCAAGCAAGGCGUGCGUUUUGUGUUCACUGAUGGAUCCAGGAUUAUAUUCAGGCUAUCGGGUACCGGGUCUGCUGGUGCAACUGUUCGUAUAUAUAUUGAACAAUUUGAGCCGGAUUCAUCCAAGCACGACGUGGAUGCACAAAUAGCAUUGAAACCAUUGAUAGAUCUGGCUUUAUCUACAUCGAAGCUGAAGGAGUUCACUAGAAGGGAGCAGCCAACGGUCAUCACAUAGAUUGGGAUCUUUGAGGAAGAAACGACAGCGUUUGACCAUACCUGAGGUUCAAAAUGCCGAAAAGAGGUCGUCCGCGCUCCCAAGCAUCACAGGAUGCAGAUAACCAGCUUAGAGUCGACAAAGACAGUGUUGUCGACGACAUUAUUCCCGUGGCGCUAGCCAAAAGAUUUAGGGAGAGGUUAGCCGAGAUAGGCCCUGGGACCUCUGGUAGUCAAGGUGAGCCUAAACCACCUACGGGGCGAAAACUUAGCACAGUCUUUGUUGGAAGACUUAGCACUUUAGAUAUUUUUACAACCUUGAAUACACUGAACAAUGUUUUUUAGCAUAGUCUUUCUAAUUUUGAUCUUGUGAACACUCAGCCGAACCGUAUGUGCAUUCUUUUUAAUCAGACGGAUACAAA
RNA transcript from Salvia splendens (bonfire salvia), 2585 nucleotides. It is a transcript of the gene named phosphoglucomutase, chloroplastic-like, with no coding region annotated. Lineage: Eukaryota; Viridiplantae; Streptophyta; Magnoliopsida; Lamiales; Lamiaceae. The transcript has 26 exons. The record is from RefSeq and is a predicted model, not a curated record.